RNAcentral lists this ribosomal RNA (497 nucleotides) under uncultured bacterium. RNAcentral describes it as "partial 16S ribosomal RNA". It matches the Rfam family "Bacterial small subunit ribosomal RNA", at positions 28 to 507 of the family's 1533-position model. The record is from RNAcentral.
GAUGAACGCUGGCGGCGUGCCUAAUACAUGCAAGUCGAGCGAACGGACGAGAAGCUUGCUUCUCUGAUGUUAGCGGCGGACGGGUGAGUAACACGUGGAUAACCUACCUAUAAGACUGGGAUAACUUCGGGAAACCGUAGCUAAUACCGGAUAAUAUUGUAAACCGCAUGGUUCAAAAGUGAAAGACGGUCUUGCUGUCCCUUAUAGAUGGAUCCCCGCUUCAUUAGCUAGUUGGUAAGGUAACGGCUUCCCAAGGCAACGAUGCAUAGCCGACCUGGGAGGGUGGCCGGCCACACUGGAAUGGAAACACGGCCCAGACUCCUACGGGAGGCACAAGUAGGGAAUUUUCCGAAAUGGGCGAAAGCCUGCCGGAGAACCGCGGCGGGAGUAAUGAAGGUCUUCGGAUCGUAAAACUCUGUUAUUAGGGAAGACCAUAUGUGUAAGUAACUGUGCACAUCUUGACGGUACCUAACCAGAAAGCCACGGCUAACUACGUG